CCUACGGGAGGCAGCAGUGGGGAAUUUUGGACAAUGGGGGCAACCCUGAUCCAGCAAUGCCGCGUGAGUGAAGAAGGCCUUCGGGUUGUAAAGCUCUUUUGUCAGGGAAGAAACAGCAGCUCUAACACAGCUGUGAAUGACGGUACCUGAAGAAUAAGCACCGGCUAACUACGUGCCAGCAGCCGCGGUAAUACGUAGGGUGCAAGCGUUAAUCGGAAUUACUGGGCGUAAAGCGUGCGCAGGCGGUUAUAUAAGACAGGUGUGAAAUCCCCGGGCUUAACCUGGGAAUUGCAUCUGUGACUGUAUAGCUAGAGUGUGUCAGAGGGGGGUAGAAUUCCACGUGUAGCAGUGAAAUGCGUAGAUAUGUGGAGGAAUACCAAUGGCGAAGGCAGCCCCCUGGGAUAACACUGACGCUCAUGCACGAAAGCGUGGGGAGCAAACAGGAUUAGAUACCCUGGUAGUCCACGCCCUAAACGAUGCUGACUAGUUGUUCGGGAUUUUAUCCUGAGUAACGUAGCUAACGCGUGAAGUCAGCGCGNGGNGGUACGUCGCGAGAGUAAACGUACGAAGAAGUAGAGCGNGAGAGAGACGACGGACGACGACGAGGGGAGGAGG
RNAcentral lists this ribosomal RNA (615 nucleotides) under uncultured bacterium. RNAcentral's name for it is "bacterial SSU rRNA". The stretch from base 1 to 538 matches the Rfam family "Bacterial small subunit ribosomal RNA", at positions 338 to 873 of the family's 1533-position model. The record is from RNAcentral.